This 433-nucleotide ribosomal RNA is filed under the name uncultured bacterium. RNAcentral's name for it is "partial 16S ribosomal RNA". It matches the Rfam family "Bacterial small subunit ribosomal RNA", at positions 29 to 507 of the family's 1533-position model. The record is from RNAcentral.
AACGAACGCUGGCGGCAUGCCUAACACAUGCAAGUCGAACGAGACCUUCGGGUCUAGUGGCGCCCGGGUGCGUAACGCGUGGGAACCUGCCCUUAGGUUCGGAAUAACUCCCCGAAAGGGGUGCUAAUACCGGCUAAUGUCUUCGGACCAAAGAUUUAUCGCCUUUGGAUGGGCCCGCGUUGGAUUAGCUAGUUGGUAGGGUAAAAGCCUACCAAGGCGACGAUCCAUAGCUGGUCUGAGAGGAUGAUCAGCCACACUGGGACUGAGACACGGCCCAGACUCCUACGGGAGGCAGCAGUGGGGAAUAUUGGACAAUGGGCGAAAGCCUGAUCCAGCAAUGCCGCGUGAGUGAUGAAGGCCUUAGGGUUGUAAAGCUCUUUUACCCGGGAUGAUAAUGACAGUACCGGGAGAAUAAGCUCCGGCUAACUCCGUG